Molecule: ribosomal RNA, 352 nt
Filed under: uncultured bacterium
Lineage: Bacteria
Description: bacterial SSU rRNA
Rfam family: Bacterial small subunit ribosomal RNA
Source: RNAcentral
AAGUGGAGCAAUCCAUGAGUAAAGUGGCGACCGGGUGAGUAACACGUGACCAAUCUACCCUCGAGUGGGGGAUAACUCCGGGAAGCCGGGGCUAAUACCGCAUAAUAUCUUCGGAACGGAAGUUCUGUUGAUCAAAGGAGCAAUUCGCUUGAGGAGGAGGUCGCGGCUGAUUAGCUAGUUGGCGGGGUAAUGGCCCACCAAGGCGAUGAUCGGUAGCCGGCCUGAGAGGGCGCACGGCCACACUGGAACUGAAACACGGUCCAGACUCCUACGGGAGGCAGCAGUGGGGAAUUUUGCGCAAUGGGGGAAACCCUGACGCAGCAACGCCGCGUGGAGGAUGAAGUCCCUUGGG